Papaver somniferum (opium poppy) is the source of this 240-nucleotide long non-coding RNA. RefSeq lists it as uncharacterized. The transcript is spliced from 3 exons. The record is from RefSeq and is a predicted model, not a curated record. NCBI's taxonomy places the organism in Eukaryota, Viridiplantae, Streptophyta, Magnoliopsida, Ranunculales, Papaveraceae.
AUAAUGUUGAUAGUGAUGCUGGUGAUCCAAACUUUGGGGAGGUGGAGGUUGAGAAUGACAAGGAAGAGGACCAUUAUGGGGACUUGGUCUCUGACAGAGAAGAAGAAGAAACCAACAAGAAUGAUGGGCUUGAACUUAUAGUAUCAGAAAGCAACAAGACUGAUGGGCCUAAUUGUUCAAAGCCUCAUGAUAACACACAGUUUGAAGAAGAGCAUGCACAACAUUUUAAGGAUGAGGAAG